CCAUUUUUGUCCAUCAUUAUUUGCCUAAACCUAGAGAAAAUAAGAACAUUAUUGAUUUCACCCUAAGGUUUUCCCUACAACGUUGUCAUCGUAUAUACAGACGACAGAGUAAUUGUUUGUCUUUGCUCGCUAGGCAUGCGUACGAGGUGAGGAUGGAUUCUCUGCUUUAUCAGUUUUGGCAGGACACUAUUGAAUAGCGAACACGGUGCAGAGAAUGGCUGAUUCAGUCUUCUUAUUUUUUCCAUGGGCCACAACAAGACUGUUUCAAUUAUUUAGGGCAAUUAAAAUAUCUGGUUUCCAAACACUAUCAGUCAGUGGAAAAGAAUUUGAAGAUGUGGAUGAAAUGAAUUCAGAUACAUUACAGAUGAAAAUAUGAAUGCCCUUUAAAGAGCUUCAAAUAUUCAUACUGAAAUGGCAAGAGGAGAGAUCUGUUUCUACGGGAAACACUAAUCACAAACCAAGACAAAGCUUUGAACUUCAUGGAGUCUGUAAGACAUUUUGGCCACUCACUAAAAAUCUGCCUGUUUUCCCAAAGUCAAAAUCCCCCUCUUCCCCUGAAGAGGUAACAACUUUAAGGUGCAUUCCAAGACACUCGGCUGUGAUUCUGAUAUCGAAUAUCAGCAAAGGAAGACCCUUCUCCCCCAGCCCAGCCCAGAGAGCAAUUGUGGAAAAUACAUUCUGAAAAUCCAAAGCUGGCAUCCCAGGACACCAAGUAGGCAAACAGUGGCUUGAACAGUGGGACUAUCAGAGGACAUGGAGAAAGGUGGAAAGAUUUAAGACCUUGGUGAUGGACUGUGUGUGUACAGCUGAGACAAAGACAGGGCAGUGCCAAGGAUGAGUGCCCCUUCGCACCAGGGACAAAGUGUGAAGGGUGGUGGGUCAUUGCUGUGUGAGACACGAGUGGCUGCUUCUCUCGCUUUGCUCUGAAGAUUAGCAUCUGUUAUUUCACCUCAAGAAAACUGAAUUGACAUUGUAUCUUUAAUUAUUCAAAUUAAAAGACCGGUGCUGUGUCAACUUAAAUUAUUAGAAUGGCCUGUCUAAGCUAUUCCUACUUGAUCAAAUUUAAGUCUGAUCAACUGAAACGCAGAAUAUGGUGAUGAUGCAGACAGUAAUGACUGUGUUGUUUUGAAAGCUUCUGGGCCUAAAGCAGAGUCAGAAGACAGAAGUUGAUAUAAAGCUGCAUGUCGGAGUUUUAAAUGAGAUUACUGGACUAGUUUAAACUUGCAAGUCAACUUUUUUGCCUUCAUUGUUAUUAAAAGUAAAAAAUGCGGAAGAGCUUGUGUAUUUAUCUGCAUAAAGAAGAAGAAAAUCUCCCCCAUCUGUGAAGCGC
Molecule: long non-coding RNA, 1330 nt
Filed under: Chinchilla lanigera (long-tailed chinchilla)
Lineage: Eukaryota; Metazoa; Chordata; Mammalia; Rodentia; Chinchillidae
Description: lncRNA (ENSCLAG00000022399.1)
Source: RNAcentral